RNAcentral lists this ribosomal RNA (255 nucleotides) under uncultured bacterium. RNAcentral's name for it is "partial 16S ribosomal RNA". It matches the Rfam family "Bacterial small subunit ribosomal RNA", at positions 524 to 776 of the family's 1533-position model. The record is from RNAcentral.
UACGGAGGGGGCUAGCGUUGUUCGGAAUUACUGGGCGUAAAGGGCGCGUAGGCGGAUGGCACAGUCAGAUGUGAAAUUCCCGGGCUUAACCUGGGGGCUGCAUUUGAUACGUGUGAUCUAGAGUGAGGAAGAGGGUCGUGGAAUUCCCAGUGUAGAGGUGAAAUUCGUAGAUAUUGGGAAGAACACCGGUGGCGAAGGCGGCGACCUGGGUCCUUUUACUGACGCUGAGGCGCGAAAGCGUGGGGAGCAAACAGG